RNAcentral lists this ribosomal RNA (496 nucleotides) under uncultured bacterium. RNAcentral describes it as "partial 16S ribosomal RNA". It matches the Rfam family "Bacterial small subunit ribosomal RNA", at positions 28 to 523 of the family's 1533-position model. The record is from RNAcentral.
GGUUAAUGCUAGCGGCAGGCCUAAUACAUGCAAGUCGAGGGGUAGAAGAGGCUUGCUUCUUUGAGACCGGCGCACGGGUGCGUAACGCGUAUGCAACCUACCUUCAUCUGGGGGAUAGCCCGGAGAAAUCCGGAUUAAUACCGCAUAAAAUCACAGGAUGGCAUUAUCCAAUGAUCAAACAUUUAUGGGAUGGAGAUGGGCAUGCGUGUCAUUAGCUAGUUGGCGGGGUAACGGCCCACCAAGGCGACGAUGACUAGGGGAUCUGAGAGGAUGGCCCCCCACACUGGUACUGAGACACGGACCAGACUCCUACGGGAGGCAGCAGUAAGGAAUAUUGGUCAAUGGAGGCAACUCUGAACCAGCCAUGCCGCGUGCAGGAAGACUGCCCUAUGGGUUGUAAACUGCUUUUAUUCGGGAAUAAACCUUAUUACGUGUAAUAAGCUGAAUGUACCGAAGGAAUAAGGAUCGGCUAACUCCGUGCCAGCAGCCGCAGUAA